GACAGAGGAUGCAAGCGUUAUCCGGAAUGAUUGGGCGUAAAGCGUCUGUAGGUGGCUUUUUAAGUCCGCCGUCAAAUCCCAGGGCUCAACCCUGGACAGGCGGUGGAAACUACCAAGCUGGAGUACGGUAGGGGCAGAGGGAACUUCCGGUGGAGCGGUGAAAUGCGUUGAUAUCGGAAGGAACGCCGGUGGCGAAAGCGGUCCGACUGGGUCCCCACUGACGCUGAGGCGCGAAAGCCAGGGAGCAAACGGG
Molecule: ribosomal RNA, 253 nt
Filed under: uncultured bacterium
Lineage: Bacteria
Description: partial 16S ribosomal RNA
Rfam family: Bacterial small subunit ribosomal RNA
Source: RNAcentral